Molecule: ribosomal RNA, 165 nt
Filed under: uncultured bacterium
Lineage: Bacteria
Description: partial 16S rRNA
Rfam family: Bacterial small subunit ribosomal RNA
Source: RNAcentral
UAGGGAAUCUUCGGCAAUGGACGAAAGUCUGACCGAGCAACGCCACGUGAGUGAAGAAGGUUUUCGGAUCGUAGAACUCUGUUGGUAGAGAAGAACGUUGGUGAGAGUGGAAAGCUCAUCAAGUGACGGUAACUACCCAGAAAGGGACGGCUAAAUACGUGCCAG